CCCACAGUAAGAACCUGGUGGGCCAGGUCCUCCUGAGGUGCUGGGCUUUUAGCUUCUAUCCUCGGGGUGUCACCCUGACCUGGCUUCGGGAUGGGGAGCCCAUGCACCAGGGCAGCUUUGGGCUUGGGGCCAACCUGCCCAGUGGGGACGGGACCUACCAGACCUGGGUGGCCACUUGGAUUCCCCCUGGAGAGGAGCAGAGGUUUGCCUGCCACGUGGGACACUGCGGGCUGAACACCACGGUCCCUGCAGUCUCUGGGCCUGAAGGUCAGAGGGCUUCCUGUGCGGCUGCUCCUGCUGCGGCUCCUCUCGCUGUGUCCACUGUCGCUGCUGUGCUGUAUUUGGUGGUGGUCGAAGCCUAGAUGAGGAAGCACACAGAGGAUGUGAGAGCCCAGGAACAGGAGAAGAAUAGACAAGCUGAAUGUUUUAUUUGUGUGUGUGUGAGGAAGAUUAGCCCUGAGCUAACACCUGUGCCAGUCCUCCUCUUUUUACUCAGGAAGAUUGGCCCUGGGCUAACAUCCGUGCUCAUCUUCCUCUACUUUGCAUGUGGGACGCCUGCCACAGCAUGGCUUGAUGAGCAGUAUGUAGGUCCCCAUUGGGACCUGAAACUGUGAACUCCAGGCCUCCGAACUGGGGCACUCGAACUUGACCUCUACGCCUCCAGGCCGCCACUGACAAGCCGUCUUCUUGUUUGCAGGAUGAGCAUACCAGAUGUGUAUUAUGAAAUUUGGCUAAAAAAAAGAAAAAAACAGAAAGACUCAACCAUUUAUCCUGCCUUUCAAAUUCACAUAAGACCCGGACCUCAUGAUAUUCACUUAGUUGAGAAAGAGAGGUGUUUUUUGUACAGAAGUAGUCCAAAUAAUAAAGAUAGAAAAAUAAAGGCAGAAUUACAUUAUCACCGCUUUGUGACCCUAAUGAAUGAAUGGAUCUCAGCAGUAACCAUCAAGGGCCACUGCAUGGCCACUGGGGAGACAGCUGGAUGUAGUGCGCCUCCUGGUGGAAGUACAGAGUACUACCCCUGAUGUCCCUCCAUCAUCAAUUUACUGUAAAGAGAAAGCAAUUGACUGGGAACAAAGAAUCAUAUUCAACCACAUGGUGGACAGGUCCUCAGCAAAGGCACAGUCUUUCUGGAAAACUACAGGCCUCACCACUUUGUUUCUUCACCAAAUAAACUGCCAGAAAACACACAAAUAAUAAAGAUGGAGAGGGAAUCAAUAUGAAGCCGGGUACCUGCGGGUUACUGUAAAUAUUCAAUAUGAUUUACCUUUCCACCUUCUUAUGAAAAGAAGUUCAUCUUGUCAAUUUGCUGUUUUCUUGUUUAACCUGAGGGGUGACUCAAAGGUCACAAGGAUUCAUGAGCUUGUUUUACAGGAGAAGGAGAACACCUUCAAGGAAGUUACCACCACCAGAUACCCAACCCCCAGCUGCCCUUGAUGUCCAGAAGUUAGAUAGUCCAGGGGUUCAUUGGGAGUGACCCCUUCAUUUCUCUGAAACUCCUCCUGCCAAG
Diceros bicornis minor is the source of this 1507-nucleotide long non-coding RNA. RefSeq lists it as uncharacterized. NCBI's taxonomy places the organism in Eukaryota, Metazoa, Chordata, Mammalia, Perissodactyla, Rhinocerotidae. The transcript is spliced from 3 exons. The record is from RefSeq and is a predicted model, not a curated record.